RNAcentral lists this transfer RNA (73 nucleotides) under Methanobacteriota archaeon. RNAcentral's name for it is "Euryarchaeota archaeon tRNA-Val". It matches the Rfam family "tRNA". From Rfam's summary of the family: Transfer RNA (tRNA) molecules are approximately 80 nucleotides in length. Lineage: Archaea; Methanobacteriati; Methanobacteriota. The record is from RNAcentral.
GGGCGUGUGGUCUAGCGGUUAUGACAUCGCCUUCACACGGCGAGGAUCCCCAGUUCGAAUCUGGGCACGCCCA